Long non-coding RNA from Alligator mississippiensis (American alligator), 635 nucleotides. RefSeq lists it as uncharacterized. The transcript has 3 exons. The record is from RefSeq and is a predicted model, not a curated record. Lineage: Eukaryota; Metazoa; Chordata; Crocodylia; Alligatoridae.
ACUGUUAUUGUUAAAUACUAAGGUUUCCUUGUAGCCAUGGAAACAAAAUCUAGACAUUAACGUGGAAGGGGGAGAAACCUAGUGUUUCCUUGACAACUGAUAAAAGCACAACUGCAGGAGACCUGAAGGAGAAUCUGAUGAAAGUACCUUUCACAAUCCGAUUUAACUGAAACGAGAUAAGAAAGGACACAACCCUGCCACAAAAGCCACUGUCCUGCCAAAUUUCCCUCUGAUGUACUAAAGCCAGGCUGGGAGAUCUUUCCAAAAAAAAGAGGCAAGUUCAGAUGGAGUUUUCAGAUGGAAAAUGUUCCCGGCGUGGACAAUUUCAGCAGAAUGGUAACAUUUGGCAGAAGUACAUACAGUAAGCUGAGAACAGGGUCUUAAAAUGAAAAAUGUUGGGGAUCCUCAACACUGUGCAGUGCUACCAUCUCUACUCGUAAUUAUAGACUUUGAUUUAUUACCAUUGUUUUUAUAAGUGCAGACCUGAACAUAGGCUGUCAUAAAUUUGAAUGCAGUUUAAACAAGAUUUAUUUAAAAAAUGAAGAACAUGCAAUUUAAAUUAAAAAUCCUGUUUGUGUAAAAAUCUGACUUGAAUAAAAAGAAAUACUUUUAUAAUUAAAAAUUAUUUUUAUCCA